UGAUCAAUUUGGAUAUGUCCAUUGAUUAGAGGAUUUUUUGUUUUCAUAUGGGGCUUCUCUUGGAUGUAUUUUGGGGUGUCUAAUUAUGGGUGCAAGGGCUCCAAUUGUUGACACCUAAUAGGCUUCCUAAUGUAAGUUGGAUAACUUAAGUUAAUAGGAAUCUUAAUGCAAGUAGGACUUGUAUUAUGAGAUUGAAUAGGAUUCAAUCCUUAUGCCUAUUUAAAGGAAUCUCCCCUAAGGUCUCUAGAGCAUCAAAAUUAGCAGUCCUUCACAACCAAAGGCUCUCCCCACUCCCUCUCUUCCUCUCUCUUUCUCUUCUCUUGGGUGUUCUAUACACCCCUUUCUGGGGACGUGCAUCCCAAGGAGUUUCAUGUCCAAAAGAGUUUGGGUGCCUUUUUCUUACUAGUUUCUAGCAUCUGGUAGCAGUAUAUAGCAAGGAGAAACUCUAGAGAAGAGGAAAAAAAGAAGAUCAAGGAGAAAGGUCAAGUUUUGAUCGUGAUCCAAGCUUCGUUCAGAUUCAGCAGACUGAAUUUUAGAGAAUCAAAAUUCAGAUUAUAGAUGGUUAUUCCAGGCUGAUCCUGAGUAGAUACUCGUAGAGGUCGGAUACUUGUGCGGUUAAGAGAGAGUCUCAUCUCUUUCAAAUCCAAUUUUGAAGAAAG
RNAcentral lists this long non-coding RNA (659 nucleotides) under Elaeis guineensis (African oil palm). Its description in RNAcentral is "long non-coding RNA (EGUI_LNC033727)". The record is from RNAcentral. Lineage: Eukaryota; Viridiplantae; Streptophyta; Magnoliopsida; Arecales; Arecaceae.